GGACUGAUAAUCCAAAUAGCUCUCCUGCCUGCCCGUGGGCUACAUCCUGUUGGCUCGGAUUGGCCUGGGAGGCUCCCUGUCCCCCCGAAGUUAUUCUGGGCUCAGGCUACUGUUCAAACAAAUAUAGUGGGUGUUUUUUGAGCUCACAUUAAGUUAUGUAGAGAGGCAGCCUAAGGCAGGGAGAGGACAGCUGAGAGGAGGGAGGGAGCACCUACCAAGGGAAAGGCGGGACAGCUUGGGAAAUAGGGUUUAUUCAGCUCCUUUCUGUGUUGAGGUUCCAUUUGACAGAUGAGGAAACUGAGGCCUCCAAAGUUGGGAUAAAAACAGGAUGGAGGUUUGGGGAGAGGGACUGGGCAAGAGUCUGCAUGCAGUGGAUUAUCAUAUGUGCUGUUUCCCUUCUCAGACUACGACUCUGUUCGUGUUGUGGGACUUACUCUGGCUACCAUCAUGUUUGUUCUGGGCAUUGUCAUUAUUGUCAGUGAGUGCUUUUCCAUUACCUACAUAGACCCUGCUCCAGAGACUCCCAUCCCAGAAACCUCCUGUCCUGGAGACUCCCUGUCCUAGAGACUGCCUAUCCCAGAGACCCCCUAUCCUGGAGACCCCCUGCCCUGGUGACCCCCUGCUCUGGAGACUCCCUGUCCUAGAGACCACCUAUCCCAGAGACCCCCUGUCCUGGAGUCUCCCUGUCCCAGAGACACCCUACUCUGGUGACCCUCUAUCCAGGAGAUCCCCAUCCCAGAGACCCCCUAAUCCAGAGACCCCUUGCUCUGGAGACCCUCCUUACCUAGAGCUCUCUGCCAGUAUCCUUCCUCCAGCUCCCAGUCCAGAGGACUUCCCCCCAAGUCAGCCUCCUCAGACCACAGCGUUCCCACCCUAGGGUUAAGAGGCCGCCAUGCUGAGUUUGGGUGGGUCCCUUCCCAAUUAUUUUCCCUGGCUCCCAACUCUAGUCUCAGCUUUCCAUUUUCCCAUUUCUUUCACUCCACAGGCAAGAAGGUGAAGUGUAGGAAGUCAGACUCCAGGUCAGAAGGGUUUGGGGGGAUCGGGGAUGAGGGUGGGCUUCCUCUAUUUCCCCUGAGUCCCUCUACCCAGCUUGCACCCUCCCUCUACCCCGUUUCCACCUCUGUCCUUGUCUCUUUCUGCCUCUGUCUCUCUGAUCUUCUCCAUCUCCUUGUGUCUUUCUGCCCCACCUUCCUUAGCCAUCUCUGCCUUGUCCCAGGUCUCCCUCUGUCUCUGUGCAUCUGCCCCUGUCGGUCUCCCUGUCUCUGUCUCCCUGUCUCUGUCUCCUUGUCUCUGUCUCCCUGUCUGUUUCUCUGUCUCUGUCUCUCCAUCUCUGUCUCCCUGUCUCUGUCUCUCUGUCUCUGUUUCCCUGUCUCUGUCUCUGUUUCCCUGUCUCUGUUUCUCUGUCUCUGUCUCUCUGUCUCUGUUUCACUGUCUCUGUCUCUGUCUCUCCUUCUGUCUCCCUGUCUCUGUCUCUCUCUCUCUGUCUCUCUGUCUCUCUCUCUCUGUCUCUCUGUCUCUGUCUCUGUCUCUCUGUCUCUCUUUCCCCAUUUGUGUCUCUCUGUCUCUGUCUUCCUGUCUCUGCUCCCCGUCUCUGUCUCCCUGUCUCUGUCUCUCUCUUGGUCUCCUUACGGUCUCUUAUCAUUCCUUUCUUCCCGCAGUCCGACCAUUAAAAACCCCCCUGGGGGAGCCGUGUAA
RNAcentral lists this long non-coding RNA (1695 nucleotides) under Sarcophilus harrisii (Tasmanian devil). Its description in RNAcentral is "lncRNA (ENSSHAG00000030715.1)". Lineage: Eukaryota; Metazoa; Chordata; Mammalia; Dasyuromorphia; Dasyuridae. The record is from RNAcentral.